UAUUCCUACAUAGCAGGUGGGACCACGGUAAAUCGAUCAUAAAGUCUUCAAAAAAGAAUAUAUACGAUUGCAUUGCAUGUAGUAACGGAUGCGAUCAUACCAGCACUAAUGCACCAGAUCCCAUCAAAACUCCGCAGUUAAGCGUGCUUGGGCGAGAGUAAUACUAGGAUGGAUGACCUCCAGGAAAGUCCUCGUGUUGCAUCCCUCUUUUU
RNAcentral lists this ribosomal RNA (212 nucleotides) under Arabidopsis thaliana (thale cress). Lineage: Eukaryota; Viridiplantae; Streptophyta; Magnoliopsida; Brassicales; Brassicaceae. The record is from RNAcentral.